UAGUGGCGCACGGGUGCGUAACGCGUGGGAAUCUGCCCUUGGGUUCGGAAUAACAGCUGGAAACGGCUGCUAAUACCGGAUGAUGACGUAAGUCCAAAGAUUUAUCGCCGAAAGAGAAGCCCGCGUCGGAUUAGCUUGUUGGUAGGGUAAUGGCCUACCAAGGCGACGAUCCGUAGCUGGUCUGAGAGGAUGACCAGCCACACUGGGACUGAGACACGGCCCAGACUCC
This 229-nucleotide ribosomal RNA is filed under the name uncultured bacterium. RNAcentral's name for it is "partial 16S ribosomal RNA". It matches the Rfam family "Bacterial small subunit ribosomal RNA", at positions 93 to 339 of the family's 1533-position model. The record is from RNAcentral.